GAUGAACGCUGGCGGCAGGCCUAACACAUGCAAGUCGAGCGGACAGACGAGGAGCGCUGUCCUCUGCCGUUGGCGGCGGACGGGUGAGUAACACGUAGAUAACCUACCUAUAAGACUGGGAUAACUACGGGGAACCGGAUCCAAUAUCGGAUCAUAUGUUGAACCGGAGGGUUCAUUGGAGCUAGAGGGUUUUGCUGUUCCUAAUAGAUGUAUCCGCGUUGGUUUAUUGAGUUGGUAAGGUACCGGCUAACCAACGCGACGAUGCGUAGCUGAGCGGAGAGGAGGAUCAGCCAAAAUGGAACUGAGACAAGGUCCAGACUCCUACGGGAGGCAGGAGUGGGGAAUAUUGGACAAUGGGCGAAAGCCUGAUCCAGCCAUGCCGCGUGGGUGAAGAAGGGCUUCGGAUUGUAAAGCCCUUUUGAUGGGGAAGAAAAGAAGCAGGUUAAUACCGUGCUGUUCUUACGGUACCCAAAGAAGAAGCACCGGCUAACUUCGUG
RNAcentral lists this ribosomal RNA (497 nucleotides) under uncultured bacterium. Its description in RNAcentral is "partial 16S ribosomal RNA". It matches the Rfam family "Bacterial small subunit ribosomal RNA", at positions 28 to 507 of the family's 1533-position model. The record is from RNAcentral.